This 70-nucleotide transfer RNA is filed under the name Camelus bactrianus (Bactrian camel). It matches the Rfam family "tRNA". From Rfam's summary of the family: Transfer RNA (tRNA) molecules are approximately 80 nucleotides in length. Their secondary structure includes four short double-helical elements and three loops (D, anti-codon, and T loops). Further hydrogen bonds mediate the characteristic L-shaped molecular structure. tRNAs have two regions of fundamental functional importance: the anti-codon, which is responsible for specific mRNA codon recognition, and the 3' end, to which the tRNAs corresponding amino acid is attached (by aminoacyl-tRNA synthetases). tRNAs cope with the degeneracy of the genetic code in two manners: having more than one tRNA (with a specific anti-codon) for a particular amino acid; and 'wobble' base-pairing, i.e. permitting non-standard base-pairing at the 3rd anti-codon position. Lineage: Eukaryota; Metazoa; Chordata; Mammalia; Artiodactyla; Camelidae. The record is from Rfam by way of RNAcentral. RNAcentral also lists the same sequence under 3 other names.
GGGCAUAGCUCAGUGGUAGAGGACAUGCUUAGCAUGCACGAAGUCCUGGGUUCAAUCCCCAGUACUUCCA